Molecule: ribosomal RNA, 269 nt
Filed under: uncultured prokaryote
Description: partial 16S ribosomal RNA
Rfam family: Bacterial small subunit ribosomal RNA
Source: RNAcentral
UACGGAGGAUCCGAGCGUUAUCCGGAUUUAUUGGGUUUAAAGGGUGCGCAGGCGGAAGAUUAAGUCGGUGGUGAAAUUUUGCAGCUCAACUGUAAAAGUGCCUUCGAAACUGGUUUCCUUGAGUGUGGAUGAAGUAGGCGGAAUUUGUGGUGUAGCGGUGAAAUGCAUAGAUAUCACGAGGAACUCCGAUUGCGCAGGCAGCUUACUAAACCAUAACUGACGCUCAGGCACGAAGGCGUGGGGAUCAAACAGGAUUAGAUACCCCUGUA